UAAAGGUGUGUACCAACAUGCCUGGAUCUGGGGCUUGCUUUGUCCCAGGCUGAUGUUGAACUCAGAAAUCAAGGAAUAUAUUACUUCGCCAGGGCCGAAGCUUUUCACAGCCACUAUGCCUCAAGAUCUCCAUGCCAAGAUCCAGGAAGCCCCUUCCCUGCCAUAUUUGGUCUUAUCUUUCCUGUAAGAUACCAGUGAAGUCCAGCAUGACAUGGACACUGUUCAAACAGCAGCAGCUCAAACUGUGUCUUGGGCCUAGUGGAUACUCACUAUACAAUUCCUAAUUCAACAAGGUGAGACAAAAUAAAUGCCUCAAAGAGAUAA
Mastomys coucha (southern multimammate mouse) is the source of this 324-nucleotide long non-coding RNA. RefSeq lists it as uncharacterized. NCBI's taxonomy places the organism in Eukaryota, Metazoa, Chordata, Mammalia, Rodentia, Muridae. The transcript has 2 exons. The record is from RefSeq and is a predicted model, not a curated record.